CCUACGGGAGGCAGCAGUGAGGAAUAUUGGUCAAUGGACGAGAGUCUGAACCAGCCAAGUAGCGUGAAGGAUGACUGCCCUAUGGGUUGUAAACUUCUUUUAUAAAGGAAUAAAACGAGGCACGUGUGCCUUUUUGCAUGUACUUUAUGAAUAAGGAUCGGCUAACUCCGUGCCAGCAGCCGCGGUAAUACGGAGGAUCCGAGCGUUAUCCGGAUUUAUUGGGUUUAAAGGGAGCGUAGAUGGGUUGUUAAGUCAGUUGUAAAAGUUUGCGGCUCAACCGUAAAAUUGCAAUUGAUACUGGCAGUCUUGAGUACAGUUGAGGUAGGCGGAAUUCGUGGUGUAGCGGUGAAAUGCUUAGAUAUCACGAAGAACCCCGAUUGCGAAGGCAGCUUACUAAACUGUGACUGACAUUGAUGCUCGAAAGUGUGGGUAUCAAACAGGAUUAGAUACCCGAGUAGUC
Molecule: ribosomal RNA, 460 nt
Filed under: uncultured bacterium
Lineage: Bacteria
Description: partial 16S ribosomal RNA
Rfam family: Bacterial small subunit ribosomal RNA
Source: RNAcentral